This 581-nucleotide ribosomal RNA is filed under the name Isochrysis galbana. RNAcentral's name for it is "partial Bacterial large subunit ribosomal RNA". It matches the Rfam family "Bacterial large subunit ribosomal RNA", at positions 1193 to 1839 of the family's 2925-position model. The record is from RNAcentral. Lineage: Eukaryota; Haptophyta; Isochrysidales; Isochrysidaceae.
ACCGAAGCUAUGGACUUGAAAAAGUGGUAGGGGAGCAUUGUAGUGUCGUCGAAGGUGUACUGCGAGGUAUGCUGGAGAAGCUACAAAAGAAAAUGUAGGCAUAAGUAACGAUAAUGCGGGCGAGAAACCCGCACACCGAAAGACUAAGGUUUCCUCAGCGAUGCUAAUCAGCUGAGGGUUAGUCGGGACCUAACGCGAACCCGAAAGGGGUAGUGGAUGGACAACCAGUUAAUAUUCUGGUACCUGCUCACGCUAAAAGUGACGGAGGCGUAUAUUUGGUGCGUGCUGACGGAAUAGCACGUUAAAGCCAGUGGUAACACGGCGAUAGUACACUGAGACUACGGUCAAGGUGAUAAUCCAGAGAAGCGACUUCCAAGAAAAGCGAGUGAAGCAGCCCGUACCGCAAACCGACACAGGUAGUCGGGGAGAGUAUCCUCAGGUGCGCGAGUGAUUCACGGCUAAGGAACUCGGCAAAUUAGUCCUGUAACUUCGGGAGAAGGGACGCCAGUUUCGGCUGGCCGCAGUGAAACGGCCCAAUCGACUGUUUAGCAAAAACACAGGACUCUGCGAAGGCGAAAGCC